UGAAAGGGAAACGAUUGAAGUCAGUCGUACCUAUGGGUAAUCAGCCUUUUGGGUGUGAUUUUGUGGAGCGUGAGGAGUUAAACGCCUUCAUGCCUGCAUAUUCGUGCACUUUGGGUGUACUUGCCCGUGUGGUAGGUUAACAUCAAUUUCGGAUGUCAUAAAAUGACUGGAGGAAUGUAGCUUCGAUCCCGUAUUGAAGUGUUAUAGCCUUUGGUAGAUGUAACGGAUGGGAUCGAGGAUUGCAAUGAAUACCCUCAUGGGCUAUCCGCCUGGCCUCUGACAUGUCACUCUGGUGCCGAAAGCUUGCUUAUGGUAUCGUAGUGUACGGUCAAAAGGUUAGAACGGAAUAAAUUCGUUAAGGAUGUUGACGUAAAGGGC
This 378-nucleotide ribosomal RNA is filed under the name uncultured Glomeromycotina. RNAcentral's name for it is "eukaryotic LSU rRNA". The record is from RNAcentral. Lineage: Eukaryota; Fungi; Glomeromycota.